RNAcentral lists this ribosomal RNA (765 nucleotides) under uncultured Streptococcus sp. RNAcentral's name for it is "bacterial SSU rRNA". It matches the Rfam family "Bacterial small subunit ribosomal RNA", at positions 28 to 776 of the family's 1533-position model. The record is from RNAcentral. Lineage: Bacteria; Bacillati; Bacillota; Bacilli; Lactobacillales; Streptococcaceae.
GACGAACGCUGGCGGCGUGCCUAAUACAUGCAAGUAGAACGCUGAGGUUUGGUGUUUACACUAGACUGAUGAGUUGCGAACGGGUGAGUAACGCGUAGGUAACCUGCCUCAUAGCGGGGGAUAACUAUUGGAAACGAUAGCUAAUACCGCAUAAGAGUAAUUAACACAUGUUAGUUAUUUAAAAGGAGCAAUUGCUUCACUGUGAGAUGGACCUGCGUUGUAUUAGCUAGUUGGUGAGGUAAAGGCUCACCAAGGCGACGAUACAUAGCCGACCUGAGAGGGUGAUCGGCCACACUGGGACUGAGACACGGCCCAGACUCCUACGGGAGGCAGCAGUAGGGAAUCUUCGGCAAUGGACGGAAGUCUGACCGAGCAACGCCGCGUGAGUGAAGAAGGUUUUCGGAUCGUAAAGCUCUGUUGUUAGAGAAGAACGUUGGUAGGAGUGGAAAAUCUACCAAGUGACGGUAACUAACCAGAAAGGGACGGCUAACUACGUGCCAGCAGCCGCGGUAACACGUAGGUCCCGAGCGUUGUCCGGAUUUAUUGGGCGUAAAGCGAGCGCAGGCGGUUCUUUAAGUCUGAAGUUAAAGGCAGUGGCUUAACCAUUGUACGCUUUGGAAACUGGAGGACUUGAGUGCAGAAGGGGAGAGUGGAAUUCCAUGUGUAGCGGUGAAAUGCGUAGAUAUAUGGAGGAACACCGGUGGCGAAAGCGGCUCUCUGGUCUGUAACUGACGCUGAGGCUCGAAAGCGUGGGGAGCAAACAGG